This is a non-coding RNA of Drosophila suzukii, 1390 nucleotides long. Lineage: Eukaryota; Metazoa; Arthropoda; Insecta; Diptera; Drosophilidae. The record is from RefSeq and is a predicted model, not a curated record.
GGCCUGAACAGUUGUACAGAACGUAGCUUACUUCAUGGUUUUUUAAUAAUAAUUAUGUUAAUUCUUAUCGAUAUUUUACUCAUCGAUACACGGAGGUGCAAUGUAUGAUGUAUCACGAAAAAGUAGCGCACUUUUUUUUUACCGAUCAUGAUGCAAGAAUUUUUGCAUCAUGAGUAGUAUUCAUGUGCGUUCAGCAGAAUUAUCGUAUGAAUUCCAUCCAUCAGUGAUCAGCUCUAAUGAUUGGGCAGAAUUGUACUUUUUUGGUAAAAUCUUGUUCAUUGCCUUGUUCGUCCAAGAUAGAGCGGCCCUAGACCGCCAGGAGCUUAUACCGGCAGUUAAUGAUGGGUUGUGCCUCCUAGACGUCCCAAGGGGCACCAACGGAAGGGUGGGGGAUUUCUUUUACUUUUACGUUAUUUUUAUACAGUGGGUAUAAUGAUUUCAGUCAGAAGUUCGCAACGCAGUGAAGGAGUAGAUCUGGAUUCCGAUUCGAUCUCGAUUCGACUUAAUCGAUUCUUUACCCCAGACCAAACAAUCGAUUCUUUUUUUUUGGGAAUCGAUUCUUUUGGCCAUGCUACAUUGGAACUUGUUGUGAAAUUCGAUGUGACACGUCUUAAAACGAAGUUGCUAGUUGGUGGCAGGACUGUGAAUGUGUAUAUGAUCUCUAAAAAAACAGAAUGAUCUAUUUUUAAAUACAAUAUCAAAACAUUAUUUUAUUAUUAUUUUUAAGAAAAUAAGAUUUGUAAGCCUUUUUUCUCUUUUGUUUUUAAUUCAACCAUUUAAGUUCUAUUAAUCGAUUAAAUCCAUUUUUGGAAGCGAAAAGAUCGAAUGGAUCGAUUGUGUAAAGUAAAUAGAAUAUUAAAAUAUACUCUUGGAAGUAUCAUGUUUUAAUGUAUCAGAAAAAAAAAAAUUUUUUUAAAUGACUUAAUGUGGAAUACUGAACAAUAUUACUCAAAUGUUUAAUAUGAAUUCCAGUCUGUGUGGUUUGUAUUAUGUGUUUGUAAUCUUACCCUGUAAAAAAGCUCGUGUUGUCUUCUUGAUAGAGCCAACACGUAAGUAGCCUUGCAAAUGAAUAUAUUUUAUAAAGUCUCAUCUUCUAAAAGGGAUUUUUUGGUGAGUCCAGAAGAGUCCAUCAAGAUCAAGAGAAACUCUAAUUGUUAGGACAUAACCUUAAAAUGGAUAAAGAAGAUUUAUUUGGCAAAUGAUACUGUGUUCAGGCCCACUGUCCGGCGAAUCUGGCCCCGCUAUCCAAUUGCACCGCUCUCCUACUGCACCGCUCUCUCGCUCUGCCGGUCUGCCGCGGAACUACGCUUAGACUUAAUCAGUUAAGUUAGAUUCUGGCAGUACAUAAGAAUAAACCGCGGUCGCUCCCCCGCCUAUUUUGUAAAGUGAA